GCACUUACCUGACAGGGGAGAUACUAUGAUCACAAAGUAAAUCUUAUCCAUUUUACUCCAGAUGUGCUAUUUCCCCAAAUGUGGGAAACCUGACUGCAUAAUGUGUGGUAGUGGGGGAUGGUGGUUAACAUCUUCCCCUG
Camelus dromedarius (Arabian camel) is the source of this 140-nucleotide small nuclear RNA. Its record names the gene U1. It matches the Rfam family "U1 spliceosomal RNA". From Rfam's summary of the family: U1 is a small nuclear RNA (snRNA) component of the spliceosome (involved in pre-mRNA splicing). Its 5' end forms complementary base pairs with the 5' splice junction, thus defining the 5' donor site of an intron. There are significant differences in sequence and secondary structure between metazoan and yeast U1 snRNAs, the latter being much longer (568 nucleotides as compared to 164 nucleotides in human). NCBI's taxonomy places the organism in Eukaryota, Metazoa, Chordata, Mammalia, Artiodactyla, Camelidae. The record is from Ensembl.